This 70-nucleotide transfer RNA is filed under the name Zygosaccharomyces bailii CLIB 213. RNAcentral describes it as "tRNA-Asp (GTC) (tRNA-Asp-GTC-5-1)". It matches the Rfam family "tRNA". Rfam says of the family: Transfer RNA (tRNA) molecules are approximately 80 nucleotides in length. Their secondary structure includes four short double-helical elements and three loops (D, anti-codon, and T loops). Further hydrogen bonds mediate the characteristic L-shaped molecular structure. tRNAs have two regions of fundamental functional importance: the anti-codon, which is responsible for specific mRNA codon recognition, and the 3' end, to which the tRNAs corresponding amino acid is attached (by aminoacyl-tRNA synthetases). tRNAs cope with the degeneracy of the genetic code in two manners: having more than one tRNA (with a specific anti-codon) for a particular amino acid; and 'wobble' base-pairing, i.e. permitting non-standard base-pairing at the 3rd anti-codon position. Lineage: Eukaryota; Fungi; Ascomycota; Saccharomycetes; Saccharomycetales; Saccharomycetaceae. The record is from RNAcentral.
UCCGUGAUAGUUUAAUGGUCGNUGGGCGCUUGUCGCGUGCCAGAUCGGGGUUCAAUUCCCCGUCGCGGAG